GGGACGGUGGCGGAAUUGGUAGACGCACCAGACUUAAAAUCUGUUGAGCACUAGCUCGUGAGGGUUCAAGUCCCUCUCGUCCUA
This 84-nucleotide transfer RNA is filed under the name Schleiferiaceae bacterium. Its description in RNAcentral is "tRNA-Leu". It matches the Rfam family "tRNA". From Rfam's summary of the family: Transfer RNA (tRNA) molecules are approximately 80 nucleotides in length. The record is from RNAcentral. Lineage: Bacteria; Pseudomonadati; Bacteroidota; Flavobacteriia; Flavobacteriales; Schleiferiaceae.